GCAGGAACAAAGGGCCAAAUAGGAAAGCAAUCAGAUAGGCUGGGUUCACCUUACCUGCCUGGUCAUUGGGGGCAAGUACCAGACACUGCAGACGAUGGCCCAGCUGGUCAUCAUCCUGAGGAGGUUGCUGCGGAAAACAUCAGGCUGAUGAUGGAAUGGGAUCCUUUCCCCUCUGAUUGAGCUAAUGGCUGCUGCUGCUUCUCAGCUCAGCAAUCUGCCCAAAACAGCAGCAGAAAGCACCCUCAGACAGCUGUUUGCCAAAUCCUGUGCCAAGACUACUUGUUCUCUCAGGUCUGGAAGGACAAGCUCUGAAGGAGGAGGACUUGUGUAGAACAUGCUGAUCUGUGAAGAGGGGAAGUUGCUGGGAACUCUGGCAUCCUGAUCUCAGCCCAUAGCAGCAGCAGAUCAGGAAGCAGCAAUGAGGGAAUUUCAAUUGUAUCUGGAGUGUCCUGCUCACCUUGCAGCUGCCUCUGACAGCAGCUGGAAUCCAGGAUCGCAGAAGAUUGCCUAUGUACUGCCAUCCCAGAAGUCAGGAGAGGAGCUCUGACCUCACAGGAGCUAAGCAGUCUAUGGACAAGGCAGUGCUUGCAAGCCCAGCACAUCUCCAUCCUGACUGCGGCAGCAUCAAACUCAGCCUCCCACCUGAGUCACCAGGCAGGUGCCCUCCCUCCCCACCAACACAGGUGUACUGCUGCCAGCCAGGUCUGGCAGCUCAGGCUGUGUCCCACAAGCUUCCAGACUCUGCCACACUCCCACAUGCUGCCCCUCUGGUUCCCAACACUGGCCUCGAACACUGGGAAAGUAUUUCGAGUAAAUAAUUGCCCUCCAAAAUAUAAUUCUGAAUAGUCAAACUUAACGAGUAAAUCUUCCACUAAAUCAAUGACCAAUUGUGCACGAGUGCUCCUCUAUCCCACCAC
This is a long non-coding RNA of Cinclus cinclus, 917 nucleotides long. RefSeq lists it as uncharacterized. The record is from RefSeq and is a predicted model, not a curated record. The transcript has 3 exons. Lineage: Eukaryota; Metazoa; Chordata; Aves; Passeriformes; Cinclidae.